GAUGAACGCUGGCGGCGUGCCUAAUACAUGCAAGUCGAGCGAACAGACGAGGAGCUUGCUCCUCUGACGUUAGCGGCGGACGGGUGAGUAACACGUGGAUAACCUACCUAUAAGACUGGGAUAACUUCGGGACACCGGAGCUAAUACCGGAUAAUAUAUUGAACCGCAUGGUUCAAUAGUGAAAGACGGUUUUGCUGUCACUUAUAGAUGGAUCCGCGCCGCAUUAGCUAGUUGGUAAGGUAACGGCUUACCAAGGCAACGAUGCGUAGCCGACCUGAGAGGGUGAUCGGCCACACUGGAACUGGGACACGGUCCAGACUCCUACGGGAGGCAGCAGUAGGGAAUCUUCGGCAAUGGGCGAAAGCCUGACGGGGCAACGCCGCGUGGGUGAGGAAGGUCUUCGGAUCGUAAAACUCUGUUAUUGGGGAAGAACAAAUGUGUAAGUAACUAUGCACGUCUUGACGGUACCUAAUCAGAAAGCCACGGCUAACUACGUG
This 497-nucleotide ribosomal RNA is filed under the name uncultured bacterium. RNAcentral's name for it is "partial 16S ribosomal RNA". It matches the Rfam family "Bacterial small subunit ribosomal RNA", at positions 28 to 507 of the family's 1533-position model. The record is from RNAcentral.